UUAAACGCUAGUUUGCCCAAUACCUUAACUCACCAACCAACCAGUCGAGUAGUGGAUCAAAUUGUCAUGGUGCGCCCAAAAUAGAAAUAUCAUACAUUAUCUCACUCUCAAUUGGAUUUGUAAAUUUUGGGGUGUGCCACUAUUUUCGAGAAUGGAUCGUUUUCAACAAUAAAAGACAAUGUCACCAAUAUGUUAGACGAAAUCAC
Molecule: long non-coding RNA, 206 nt
Filed under: Gossypium barbadense (sea-island cotton)
Lineage: Eukaryota; Viridiplantae; Streptophyta; Magnoliopsida; Malvales; Malvaceae
Description: long non-coding RNA (GBAR_LNC001306)
Source: RNAcentral